GCCCGGUUAGCUCAGUUGGUCAGAGCAUUGUGCUAAUAUCAUAAUCAGAUACAAACGCAAGGGUCGCAGGUUCGAGCCCUGCAUUGGGCA
Molecule: non-coding RNA, 90 nt
Organism: Flagelloscypha sp. PMI_526
Lineage: Eukaryota; Fungi; Basidiomycota; Agaricomycetes; Agaricales; Niaceae
Source: the annotation of a GenBank genome assembly